Molecule: small nuclear RNA, 104 nt
Organism: Monodelphis domestica (gray short-tailed opossum)
Lineage: Eukaryota; Metazoa; Chordata; Mammalia; Didelphimorphia; Didelphidae
Source: Ensembl
GUGCUCACUUCAGCAGCACGUAUACCAAAAUUGGACUGAUACAGAUAUUAGCAUGACCUCUGUGCAAGGAUGGCAUGCAAAUUUGUGAUGGGUUACUUUUUUUU